GUCUCAGUAGCAUGGUGAUCAGUGCACAGCCCCGAUUAGGCUUGAGACGCGGGUUCGAAUCCCGUCUGAGAUU
This 73-nucleotide transfer RNA is filed under the name Nippostrongylus brasiliensis. It matches the Rfam family "tRNA". From Rfam's summary of the family: Transfer RNA (tRNA) molecules are approximately 80 nucleotides in length. Their secondary structure includes four short double-helical elements and three loops (D, anti-codon, and T loops). Further hydrogen bonds mediate the characteristic L-shaped molecular structure. tRNAs have two regions of fundamental functional importance: the anti-codon, which is responsible for specific mRNA codon recognition, and the 3' end, to which the tRNAs corresponding amino acid is attached (by aminoacyl-tRNA synthetases). tRNAs cope with the degeneracy of the genetic code in two manners: having more than one tRNA (with a specific anti-codon) for a particular amino acid; and 'wobble' base-pairing, i.e. permitting non-standard base-pairing at the 3rd anti-codon position. The record is from Rfam by way of RNAcentral. Lineage: Eukaryota; Metazoa; Nematoda; Chromadorea; Rhabditida; Heligmosomidae.